Molecule: non-coding RNA, 24 nt
Filed under: Arabidopsis thaliana (thale cress)
Lineage: Eukaryota; Viridiplantae; Streptophyta; Magnoliopsida; Brassicales; Brassicaceae
Source: RNAcentral
GAAAGAUUGUAGAACUCCUAGAGA